UGGGGAAUAUUGGACAAUGGGCGAAAGCCUGAUCCAGCCAUGCCGCGUGUGUGAAGAAGGCCUUCGGGUUGUAAAGCACUUUUGUUGGGAAAGAAAUCCUGUCGGCCAAUACCCGGCGGGGAUGACGGUACCCAAAGAAUAAGCACCGGCUAACUUCGUGCCAGCAGCCGCGGUAAUACGAAGGGUGCAAGCGUUACUCGGAAUUACUGGGCGUAAAGCGUGCGUAGGCGGUUCGUUAAGUCUGUCGUGAAAGCCCUGGGCUCAACCUGGGAAUUGCGAUGGAUACUGGCGAGCUAGAGUACGGUAGAGGAUGGUGGAAUUCCCGGUGUAGCGGUGAAAUGCGUAGAGAUCGGGAGGAACACCCGUGGCGAAGGCGGCCAUCUGGACCAGUACUGACGCUGAGGCACGAAAGCGUGGGGAGCAAACA
This 427-nucleotide ribosomal RNA is filed under the name uncultured bacterium. Its description in RNAcentral is "bacterial SSU rRNA". It matches the Rfam family "Bacterial small subunit ribosomal RNA", at positions 355 to 774 of the family's 1533-position model. The record is from RNAcentral.